Molecule: ribosomal RNA, 459 nt
Filed under: uncultured bacterium
Lineage: Bacteria
Description: partial 16S ribosomal RNA
Rfam family: Bacterial small subunit ribosomal RNA
Source: RNAcentral
CCUACGGGUGGCAUCAGUGAGGAAUAUUGGUCAAUGGACGCAAGUCUGAACCAGCCAUGCCGCGUGCAGGAUGACGGCUCUAUGAGUUGUAAACUGCUUUUGUACGAGGGUAAACCCCGAUACGUGUAUCGGGUUGAAAGUAUCGUACGAAUAAGGAUCGGCUAACUCCGUGCCAGCAGCCGCGAUAAUACGGAGGAUCCGAGCGUUAUCCGGAUUUAUUGGGUUUAAAGGGUGCGUAGGCGGGCUUUUAAGUCAGCGGUAAAAAUUCGGGGCUCAACCCCGUCCGGCCGUUGAAACUGGGGGCCUUGAGUGGGCGAGAAGAAGGCGGAAUGCGUGGUGUAGCGGUGAAAUGCAUAGAUAUCACGCAGAACCCCGAUUGCGAAGGCAGCCUUCCGGCGCCCUACUGACGCUGAGGCACGAAAGUGCGGGGAUCGAACAGGAUUAGAUACCCCAGUAGUC